RNAcentral lists this ribosomal RNA (453 nucleotides) under uncultured bacterium. RNAcentral describes it as "bacterial SSU rRNA". It matches the Rfam family "Bacterial small subunit ribosomal RNA", at positions 29 to 524 of the family's 1533-position model. The record is from RNAcentral.
AACGAACGCUGGCGGCAUGCCUAACACAUGCAAGUCGAACGAGACCUUCGGGUCUAGUGGCGCACGGGUGCGUAACGCGUGGGAAUCUGCCCUUGGGUUCGGAAUAACAGCGAGAAAUUGCUGCUAAUACCGGAUGAUGACGUAAGUCCAAAGAUUUAUCGCCCAAGGAUGAGCCCGCGUAGGAUUAGCUAGUUGGUGAGGUAAAGGCUCACCAAGGCGACGAUCCUUAGCUGGUCUGAGAGGAUGAUCAGCCACACUGGGACUGAGACACGGCCCAGACUCCUACGGGAGGCAGCAGUGGGGAAUAUUGGACAAUGGGCGAAAGCCUGAUCCAGCAAUGCCGCGUGAGUGAUGAAGGCCUUAGGGUUGUAAAGCUCUUUUACCCGGGAUGAUAAUGACAGUACCGGGAGAAUAAGACUCCGGGCUAACUACCGUGCCAGCAGCCGCGGUAAU